UACCCUGGACGGUGGAUCACUUGGCUCGCGGGUCGAUGAAGAACGCAGUUAACUGCGCGUCAUAGUGUGAACUGCAGGACACAUUUGAACAUCGACAUUUCGUUCUCGUCAUGAAGAAUGGUG
RNAcentral lists this ribosomal RNA (123 nucleotides) under Bombyx mori (domestic silkworm). Its description in RNAcentral is "5.8S ribosomal RNA". It matches the Rfam family "5.8S ribosomal RNA". Rfam says of the family: 5.8S ribosomal RNA (5.8S rRNA) is a component of the large subunit of the eukaryotic ribosome. The record is from Rfam by way of RNAcentral. Lineage: Eukaryota; Metazoa; Arthropoda; Insecta; Lepidoptera; Bombycidae.